GUCGAGGGGCGCAUUUCAGUUUGCUUGCAACUGGAGAUGGCGACCGGCGCACGGGUGAGUAACACGUAUCCAACCUGCCGAUAACUCGGGGAUAGCCUUUCGAAAGAAAGAUUAAUACCCGAUGGCAUAAUUAGACCGCAUGGUCUUAUUAUUAAAGAAUUUCGGUUAUCGAUGGGGAUGCGUUCCAUUAGGCAGUUGGUGAGGUAACGGCUCACCAAACCUUCGAUGGAUAGGGGUUCUGAGAGGAAGGUCCCCCACAUUGGAACUGAGACACGGUCCAAACUCCUACGGGAGGCAGCAGUGAGGAAUAUUGGUCAAUGGGCGCAGGCCUGAACCAGCCAAGUAGCGUGAAGGAUGACUGCCCUAUGGGUUGUAAACUUCUUUUAUAUGGGAAUAAAGUUUUCCACGUGUGGAAUUUUGUAUGUACCAUAUGAAUAAGGAUCGGCUAACUCCGUGCCAGCAGCCGCGGUAAUACGGAGGAUCCGAGCGUUAUCCGGAUUUAUUGGGUUUAAAGGGAGCGUAGGUGGACAGUUAAGUCAGUUGUGAAAGUUUGCGGCUCAACCGUAAAAUUGCAGUUGAUACUGGCUGUCUUGAGUACAGUAGAGGUGGGCGGAAUUCGUGGUGUAGCGGUGAAAUGCUUAGAUAUCACGAAGAACUCCGAUUGCGAAGGCAGCUCACUGGACUGCAACUGACACUGAUGCUCGAAAGUGUGGGUAUCAAACAGGAUUAGAUACCCUGGUAGUCCACACAGUAAACGAUGAAUACUCGCUGUUUGCGAUAUACAGUAAGCGGCCAAGCGAAAGCAUUA
Molecule: ribosomal RNA, 808 nt
Filed under: uncultured bacterium
Lineage: Bacteria
Description: bacterial SSU rRNA
Rfam family: Bacterial small subunit ribosomal RNA
Source: RNAcentral